CUUAUCAAGAGUGGCUGAGGGACUGGCCCGAUGAAGCCCGGCAACCGGCAGGCGACUGCAAGGUGCCAAAUCCAGCAGCGGGCGCUGCGCACCGCUGGCAGAUAAG
This 106-nucleotide non-coding RNA is filed under the name bovine gut metagenome. Its description in RNAcentral is "SAM riboswitch (S box leader)". It matches the Rfam family "SAM riboswitch aptamer (S box leader)". From Rfam's summary of the family: The SAM riboswitch is found upstream of a number of genes which code for proteins involved in methionine or cysteine biosynthesis in Gram-positive bacteria. The SAM riboswitch acts at the level of transcription termination control. The record is from RNAcentral.